Molecule: transfer RNA, 69 nt
Filed under: Evandromyia infraspinosa
Lineage: Eukaryota; Metazoa; Arthropoda; Insecta; Diptera; Psychodidae
Description: tRNA-Gln
Source: RNAcentral
UAUAUUUUAUUGUAAGAGGCAUAAAAAUUUUUGAUAUUUUAGGAAAUAGUUUAAUUCUAUUAAAUAUAA